ACUCCUGCGGGAGGCAGCAGUGGGGAAUAUUGCACAAUGGGCGCAAGCCUGAUGCAGCCAUGCCGCGUGUAUGAAGAAGGCCUUCGGGUUGUAAAGUACUUUCAGCGGGGAGGAAGGCGAUAAGGUUAAUAACCUUGUUGAUUGACGUUACCCGCAGAAGAAGCACCGGCUAACUCCGUGCCAGCAGCCGCGGUAAUACGGAGGGUGCAAGCGUUAAUCGGAAUUACUGGGCGUAAAGCGCACGCAGGCGGUCUGUCAAGUCGGAUGUGAAAUCCCCGGGCUCAACCUGGGAACUGCAUUCGAAACUGGCAGGCUAGAGUCUUGUAGAGGGGGGUAGAAUUCCAGGUGUAGCGGUGAAAUGCGUAGAGAUCUGGAGGAAUACCGGUGGCGAAGGCGGCCCCCUGGACAAAGACUGACGCUCAGGUGCGAAAGCGUGGGGAGCAAACAGGAUUAGAAACCCUGGUAGUCCCAUG
This 473-nucleotide ribosomal RNA is filed under the name uncultured organism. Its description in RNAcentral is "partial 16S ribosomal RNA". It matches the Rfam family "Bacterial small subunit ribosomal RNA", at positions 335 to 799 of the family's 1533-position model. The record is from RNAcentral.